Molecule: ribosomal RNA, 253 nt
Filed under: uncultured Lishizhenia sp.
Lineage: Bacteria; Pseudomonadati; Bacteroidota; Flavobacteriia; Flavobacteriales; Crocinitomicaceae
Description: partial 16S ribosomal RNA
Rfam family: Bacterial small subunit ribosomal RNA
Source: RNAcentral
UACGGAGGGUGCUAGCGUUAUCCGGAAUCAUUGGGUUUAAAGGGUCCGCAGGCGGAUUUAUAAGUCAGUGGUGAAAUCCUAUCGCUUAACGAUAGAACUGCCAUUGAUACUGUAGGUCUUGAAUUCGGUCGAAGUGGGCGGAAUGUGUAGUGUAGCGGUGAAAUGCAUAGAUAUUACACAGAACACCGAUAGCGAAGGCAGCUCACUAGGCCUGGAUUGACGCUCAGGGACGAAAGCGUGGGGAUCAAACAGG